RNAcentral lists this ribosomal RNA (253 nucleotides) under uncultured bacterium. RNAcentral describes it as "partial 16S ribosomal RNA". It matches the Rfam family "Bacterial small subunit ribosomal RNA", at positions 524 to 776 of the family's 1533-position model. The record is from RNAcentral.
UACGAAGGGGGCUAGCGUUGUUCGGAAUUACUGGGCGUAAAGGGCGCGUAGGCGGUGUGUCAAGUCAGGCGUGAAAGCCCCGGGCUCAACCUGGGAACCGCGCUUGAGACUGGUGCGCUAGAGUCCGGGAGAGGAUGGUGGAAUUCCCGGUGUAGCGGUGAAAUGCGCAGAUAUCGGGAGGAACACCGGUGGCGAAGGCGGUUCUCUGGGCCUGUACUGACGCUGAGGAGCGAAAGCGUGGGGAGCGAACAGG